Molecule: long non-coding RNA, 1227 nt
Filed under: Ficedula albicollis (Collared flycatcher)
Lineage: Eukaryota; Metazoa; Chordata; Aves; Passeriformes; Muscicapidae
Description: lncRNA (ENSFALG00000025087.1)
Source: RNAcentral
AUGGCGCCAGCAAGGCACGGGGUGGCCAUGUCCUGCUCUGUGGGGUGGCUGUGGGGUGCCCAGCCCCAGGCCUGGUGUGGUGUCACUCCCCUGCGGUCCCAGGCCCUGGGGAUGCUGCGGUGUCACUCCCCUGCGGUGCCAGGCCCUGGGGAUGCUGUGGUGUCGCUCCCCUGCGGUGCCAGGCCCUGGGGAUGCUGUGGUGUCGCUCCCCUGCGGUGCCAGGCCCUGGGGAUGCUGUGGUGUCGCUCCCCUGCGGUGCCAGGCCCUGGGGAUGCUGUGGUGUCGCUCCCCUGCGGUGCCAGGCCCUGGGGAUGCUGUGGUGUCGCUCCCCUGCGGUGCCAGGCCCUGGGGAUGCUGUGGUGUCGCUCCCCUGCGGUGCCAGGCCCUGGGGAUGCUGUGGUGUCGCUCCCCUGCGGUGCCAGGCCCUGGGGAUGCUGUGGUGUCGCUCCCCUGCGGUGCCAGGCCCUGGGGAUGCUGUGGUGUCGCUCCCCUGCGGUGCCAGGCCCUGGGGAUGCUGUGGUGUCGCUCCCCUGCGGUGCCAGGCCCUGGGGAUGCUGUGGUGUCGCUCCCCUGCGGUGCCAGGCCCUGGGGAUGCUGUGGUGUCGCUCCCCUGCGGUGCCAGGCCCUGGGGAUGCUGUGGUGUCGCUCCCCUGCGGUGCCAGGCCCUGGGGAUGCUGUGGUGUCGCUCCCCUGCGGUGCCAGGCCCUGGGGAUGCUGUGGUGUCGCUCCCCUGCGGUGCCAGGCCCUGGGGAUGCUGUGGUGUCGCUCCCCUGCGGUGCCAGGCCCUGGGGAUGCUGUGGUGUCGCUCCCCUGCGGUGCCAGGCCCUGGGGAUGCUGUGGUGUCGCUCCCCUGCGGUGCCAGGCCCUGGGGAUGCUGUGGUGUCACUCCCCUGCGGUGCCAGGCCGGCUGCCCCUGUGCUCUGUGGGGGAUUCCCCCCAGCCCUGCCCGUGAGGUGCCCCAGCCUCACGCGGUUCCAGCCCGGCAGCCUGAGCUGUGCCUGCCGGCUGCAGCAGCAGUGGCUGCUGCUCUCAGGGACUGCCAGCCUUCCUCUGGCUCCAGGGAGGGGGAGUGCACAGGUGGCGAAUGUCCCAAGAGGGAAUGCAAAGAACAAGUCACUUGUGACAGCCCCUCACUCGCUGCUGAAAAUUGAGUUGCUUAAUGAGUGUUACUCUGCUAAGGGUUUUUUUCUGCCUCAUUUCUUGGGACCAUUUGAGGAUAAUCAUUGA